ACGCACGCUGGCGGCCUGCCUAACCCCUGCAAGUCGCACGAGACCUUCGGGUCUAGUGGCGCACGGGUGCGUAACGCGUGGGAACCUGCCCUUAGGUUCGGAAUAACUCCCCGAAAGGGGUGCUAAUACCGGAUAAUGUCUUCGGACCAAAGAUUUAUCGCCUUUGGAUGGGCCCGCGUUGGAUUAGCUAGUUGGUAGGGUAAAAGCCUACCAAGGCGACGAUCCAUAGCUGGUCUGAGAGGAUGAUCAGCCACACUGGGACUGAGACACGGCCCAGACUCCUACGGGAGGCAGCAGUGGGGAAUAUUGGACAAUGGGCGAAAGCCUGAUCCAGCAAUGCCGCGUGAGUGAUGAAGGCCUUAGGGUUGUAAAGCUCUUUUACCCGGGAUGAUAAUGACAGUACCGGGAGAAUAAGCUCCGGCUAACUCCGUG
This 432-nucleotide ribosomal RNA is filed under the name uncultured bacterium. Its description in RNAcentral is "partial 16S ribosomal RNA". It matches the Rfam family "Bacterial small subunit ribosomal RNA", at positions 29 to 507 of the family's 1533-position model. The record is from RNAcentral.